AACCCUUGAUGAGAGCACCUUCUCAAUAAAUCUUUGAAUCUCUCUCAUGCAUCAUAUAAUGUCUCUAAAUUGAUCUGGGCAAUGGAAGAAAUGUCAUUCCUCAACUU
Molecule: small nucleolar RNA, 107 nt
Filed under: Gossypium hirsutum (cotton)
Lineage: Eukaryota; Viridiplantae; Streptophyta; Magnoliopsida; Malvales; Malvaceae
Description: Plant small nucleolar RNA R71
Rfam family: Plant small nucleolar RNA R71
About the family: R71 is a member of the C/D box family of snoRNAs containing the C (UGAUGA) and D (CUGA) box motifs. Multiple nearly identical copies of this snoRNA have been identified in Arabidopsis, and it is thought to function as a 2'-O-ribose methylation guide for 18S ribosomal RNA.
Source: Rfam by way of RNAcentral